GAUCAUGGCUCAGAUUGAACGCUGGCGGCAGGCCUAACACAUGCAAGUCGAACGGUAACAGGAAACAGCUUGCUGUUUCGCUGACGAGUGGCGGACGGGUGAGUAAUGUCUGGGAAACUGCCUGAUGGAGGGGGGAUAACUACUGGAAACGGUAGCUAAUACCGCAUAACGUCGCAAGACCAAAGAGGGGGGACCUUCGGGCCGUCUUGCCAUCGGAUGUGCCCCACGAUGGGGAGUUAGCUAGUAGGU
This 249-nucleotide ribosomal RNA is filed under the name uncultured bacterium. RNAcentral's name for it is "partial 16S ribosomal RNA". It matches the Rfam family "Bacterial small subunit ribosomal RNA", at positions 15 to 257 of the family's 1533-position model. The record is from RNAcentral.